CCACUGAAUUUUAAUGUUUGUU
RNAcentral lists this small nuclear RNA (22 nucleotides) under Arabidopsis thaliana (thale cress). Its description in RNAcentral is "snRNA_19022". The record is from RNAcentral. Lineage: Eukaryota; Viridiplantae; Streptophyta; Magnoliopsida; Brassicales; Brassicaceae.